RNAcentral lists this ribosomal RNA (1165 nucleotides) under Cudonia circinans. RNAcentral's name for it is "partial large subunit ribosomal RNA". It matches the Rfam family "Eukaryotic large subunit ribosomal RNA", at positions 71 to 1427 of the family's 3401-position model. The record is from RNAcentral. Lineage: Eukaryota; Fungi; Ascomycota; Leotiomycetes; Rhytismatales; Cudoniaceae.
GGGAUUGCCUCAGUAACGGCGAGUGAAGCGGCAACAGCUCAAAUUUGAAAGCUGGCUCCUUUAGAGCCCGCAUUGUAAUUUGUAGAGGAUGCUUCGGGUGCGGCGCUGGUCUAAGUUCUUUGGAACAAGACGUCAUAGAGGGUGAGAAUCCCGUAUGUGACUAGCUGCCUGUGCCUAUGUGAAGCUCCUUCGACGAGUCGAGUUGUUUGGGAAUGCAGCUCAAAAUGGGUGGUGUACUUCAUCUAAAGCUAAAUAUUGGCCAGAGACCGAUAGCGCACAAGUAGAGUGAUCGAAAGAUGAAAAGCACUUUGGAAAGAGAGUUAAACAGUACGUGAAAUUGUUGAAAGGGAAGCGCUUGCAAUCAGACUUGCGCGGCGUCGAUCAACCUGGGUUCUCCCUGGUGCACUCGGCGCUGCUCAGGCCAGCAUCAGUUUCGGCGGUUGGAUAAAGGCCUAGGGAACGUGGGUUACUUCGGUGACUGUUAUAGCCCUAGGUGCAAUGCAGCCUGCUGGGACUGAGGACCGCGCUUCGGCUAGGAUGCUGGCGUAAUGGUUGUAAGCGACCCGUCUUGAAACACGGACCAAGGAGUCUAACAUCUAUGCGAGUUUUUGGGUGUCAAACCCAUAAGCGUAAUGAAAGUGAACGGAGGUGAGAACCCUUAAGGGUGCAUCAUCGACCGAUCCUGAUGUCUUCGGAUGGAUUUGAGUAAGAGCAUAGCUGUUGGGACCCGAAAGAUGAUGAUCUAUACCUGAAUAGGGUGAAGCCAGAGGAAACUCUGGUGGAGGCUCGCAGCGGUUCUGACGUGCAAAUCGAUCGUCAAAUUUGGGUAUAGGGGCGAAAGACUAAUCGAAUCAUUGAGCAAUUGCUACUAGGUGAUUGAGAGAUAUAUAGACAACAUAUAUAUAUCUAGUUCCUUGUGAAGGAGCUAUACUGCAAAAUUGCGGGAACCCUCUAAGUGCCUAAACUACUGCCCUCGGGCUGAAAAGCUCGAGGGCACCAGUAAUUGCUGGGUAUGGUAAUAAGGUUUAGGAUUGAGCAACCCGCAGCCCUGCCCUACAGCAGUUUACACUGCCACGGGCAUGGUCCAUCGACUAGAUGGCAGUAGGUGCUGCCAACCAUAUUGGCUGUGUCUAAGGUAUAGUCAGACUAUGGUAGAGAUGCUAUG